This 497-nucleotide ribosomal RNA is filed under the name uncultured bacterium. Its description in RNAcentral is "partial 16S ribosomal RNA". It matches the Rfam family "Bacterial small subunit ribosomal RNA", at positions 28 to 507 of the family's 1533-position model. The record is from RNAcentral.
GAUGAACGCUGGCGGCGUGCCUAAUACAUGCAAGUCGAGCGAACAGACGAGGAGCUUGCUCCUCUGACGUUAGCGGCGGACGGGUGAGUAACACGUGGAUAACCUACCUAUAAGACUGGGAUAACUUCGGGAAACCCGAGCUAAUACCGGAUAAUAUAUUUAACCGGAUGGUUCAAUAGUGAAAGACGGUUUUGCUGUCACUUAUAGGUGGAUCCGCGCCGCAUUAGCUAGUUGGUAAGGUAACGGCUUACCAAGUCAACGAUGCGUAGCCGGCCUGAGAGGGUGGCCGGCCGGAGAGGGACGGAGGCCCGGUUCGGACUCAGACAGGAGGCAGAAGUAUAGGGGCGGCAGCAGUGGGCGAUAGCGUAACGUGGGAGCAAGGCUUAUGUAGUGACGGCGUUUGGAUGGUGACGCUCUUCGGGUUGGGAAGUACAUACGUGUAUGAAGAAGUGCAUGUGUUGACGGUACCGGAAGAAGAAGCAACGGCUAACUACGUG